This is a non-coding RNA of Schistosoma mansoni, 46 nucleotides long. The record is from Rfam. NCBI's taxonomy places the organism in Eukaryota, Metazoa, Platyhelminthes, Trematoda, Strigeidida, Schistosomatidae.
GCACUGCUGAGGAGUCCCAUAAUAAGACGGAACGGUCGUCCAGUGC